Pelobates cultripes (western spadefoot toad) is the source of this 443-nucleotide non-coding RNA. The record is from the annotation of a GenBank genome assembly. NCBI's taxonomy places the organism in Eukaryota, Metazoa, Chordata, Amphibia, Anura, Pelobatidae.
UGAUCACCGAAAACAAUCUCGGGCACCUGUGAUAAUUAGAUUGCCAGGUGAGCCCAAUUUAAGGAAAAACUACUAAAGGAGGGUGUUCCACAUUAUUAAGCAGAGCACCAUUUUCAUGCAGUAUGGGGAAGAAAAAGGAUCUUUCCGCUGCUGAAAAGAGUGAAAUAGUUCUAUGCCUUGGACGAGGUAUGAAAACAUUAGAUAUUUCACAAAAACUGAAGCGUGAUCACCGCACUAUUAAGAGAUUUGUUGCUUAUUCAGAGCACAGACGGGUUCGUGCAGAUAAAGGCACAUUGAGGAAGAUUCCUGCCAGAUCCAUGCAUCGGAUCAAGAGAGCAGCUGCUAAAAUACCAUUACAUAGCAGCAAGCAGAUAUUUGAAGCUACUAGUGCCUCUGGAGUCCCACAGACAUAAAGGUGUAGAGUCCUCCAGAGUCUUGCAACU